This 849-nucleotide ribosomal RNA is filed under the name Epicoccum sp. Its description in RNAcentral is "partial large subunit ribosomal RNA". It matches the Rfam family "Eukaryotic large subunit ribosomal RNA", at positions 68 to 935 of the family's 3401-position model. Lineage: Eukaryota; Fungi; Ascomycota; Dothideomycetes; Pleosporales; Didymellaceae. The record is from RNAcentral.
ACAGGGAUUGCCCUAGUAACGGCGAGUGAAGCGGCAACAGCUCAAAUUUGAAAUCUGGCGUCUUUGGCGUCCGAGUUGUAAUUUGCAGAGGGCGCUUUGGCAUUGGCAGCGGUCCAAGUUCCUUGGAACAGGACGUCACAGAGGGUGAGAAUCCCGUACGUGGUCGCUAGCCUUUACCGUGUAAAGCCCCUUCGACGAGUCGAGUUGUUUGGGAAUGCAGCUCUAAAUGGGAGGUAAAUUUCUUCUAAAGCUAAAUACUGGCCAGAGACCGAUAGCGCACAAGUAGAGUGAUCGAAAGAUGAAAAGCACUUUGGAAAGAGAGUUAAAAAGCACGUGAAAUUGUUGAAAGGGAAGCGCUUGCAGCCAGACUUGCCUGUAGUUGCUCAUCCGGGUUUUUACCCGGUGCACUCUUCUACGGGCAGGCCAGCAUCAGUUUGGGCGGUUGGAUAAAGGUCUCUGUCAUGUACCUCCUCUCGGGGAGAUCUUAUAGGGGAGACGACAUGCAACCAGCCUGGACUGAGGUCCGCGCAUCUGCUAGGAUGCUGGCGUAAUGGCUGUAAGCGGCCCGUCUUGAAACACGGACCAAGGAGUCUAACAUCUAUGCGAGUGUUUGGGUGUCAAGCCCGAACGCGUAAUGAAAGUGAACGGAGGUGGGAACCUUUCGGGGUGCACCAUCGACCGAUCCUGAUGUCUUCGGAUGGAUUUGAGUAAGAGCAUAGCUGUUGGGACCCGAAAGAUGGUGAACUAUGCUUGAAUAGGGUGAAGCCAGAGGAAACUCUGGUGGAGGCUCGCAGCGGUUCUGACGUGCAAAUCGAUCGUCAAAUUUGGGCAUAGGGGCGAAAGACUAAU